Mandrillus leucophaeus (drill) is the source of this 516-nucleotide long non-coding RNA. RefSeq lists it as uncharacterized. NCBI's taxonomy places the organism in Eukaryota, Metazoa, Chordata, Mammalia, Primates, Cercopithecidae. The transcript has 3 exons. The record is from RefSeq and is a predicted model, not a curated record.
CUCAUAGAUAGAUAAGGCGGGAGCUACUCUCAGGCUGCAAGCAGUGACAGUGCCCAAGGUUCUGAUGUGUCUCUCACGGCUUUAAAGUGUGAGACAGCUGCCUUGUGUGGGACUGAGAGGCAAGAUUUGUUCACGCCUUCUCUUUGUGACUUGAAAAACCCUGACUUUCUUUCUGCAAAGGCACCUGAAUGUGUCUGUGUUCCUGUAGGCAUAAUGUGAGGAGGUGGGGAGAACACCCCAUCCCCGUGUCCACCAUGACCCUCUUCCCCACGCUGACCUGUGUUUCCCCCCCAUUUAUCUUUCCUGUUCCAGGGAGGUGGGGCUGGGAUAUCUCUAUCUCUGUCUCAACUUCAUGGUGCACUGAGCUGUAACUUCUUCCUUCCCUAUUAAAAUUAGAACCUGAGUAUAAAUUUACUUUUUCAAAUUCUUGCCAUGAGAGGUUGAUGAGUUAAUUAAAGGAGAAGAUUCCUGAAAUUUGAGAGACAAAAUAAAUGGAAGACAUGAGAACCUUCCAGA